UUUUGUUCACUGCGCGUGUGUUUUUUUUUGGUUUCUAUUGUGAAGUGUGUGUGAUGAUGAUUGGUUGAGGUUUAUGCUCCUGUGCAAAAUGCAAAUGCAAAAACAUAUGCAUAUAAUCUAAACAAAUGAAUAACAAAUUUUCCAUCAAACUAUUAAUGUGUUUAAUAUGAAGUAAUUACACCUUGAAGUGUGCGAUAAAAGCAAUUAAUUAGUGAAAUUAGGCGCGCAUUUAAAGCGGGCAUUCAAUGUAAAUGGCAAAAAUGCCAUAAAAAUGGCUUGUUAAAUCAUGUUUGACAGAAAUCAACGGGAAUAAACGUCAACUCAAAUGGCACAAUCGAAUUUAAUAUUCAAUUGCGUUUUUAUCAUAAUAUCUGCUGAUUCCGUUGACUGCACAUUUGAUCGGUUUUGAGCCUUUAUUUAGAUGCAAAUAUUUUGCAUUUAUUUAUUAUUUUAUUGUCAAAUGCCACCACACCCCCCUCAUCACUGAUGCUUUUGUUGUGCCAUAAUUUCGUUUUCUGCGAAUAACUAGAAAAGUUCAACGGCGGGUGUCAAACAAAAUUUUCAUUUGAAUUUUUUGCUGCGCUCUUUAGUUUUUUGUACAUUUUGUUUGGCUUCACGCUGCUUUCAUACUUAGCACACAAAAAUGUGCGCUCUUGGCUUCUUUUUAAGUUCGUUUGUUUUAUUUUAUUUAUUUAUAAGUUCGCACUAAAAUCGUGCAAAACAUUUAUGUUGGCGUUAUUUCCUUGUUUCAACCAUUCGGCUUCAAUUGUUGACAAUUGUGAUGGAAGUGGACUGCAGGAAUAUGGAAAAUUUUAAAAUGACAUGCCGCCGAAAUACGUGAACGCUUCGAAAACAAUAAUAAUUAAUACUCAAUGACCAAUAAAACAAUAGCAAUGUGUAAUUGAUGGACUUGCUGCCAAAAUAUAAUUAGCAGCUAAUAUAGAAACAGAACAUCAAGGCAAAACUCGAUUAUUCCAGUGGGCGUGGCCAGUGGGCGUGUGUGUGUUUUGGCCGCUGACAAAAGUGCAAUUGGAAUCGGAUUCGAGCGAAGAUACGGACAAUCGGGGCAACGCCAGCGAUACGGGCCAAACUCAAGUGGCCAGGAUAGGCGGCGAAAAGGAGGCGGAGGCGGCUGGGGAGGCGUGGUGGCUUGGUCAUGACAAUGUCCUCGACGUCGACUGCGACGUCGACAGCGACUGCGACGCUGGCCGAGGCGAACGCCACUGUUGGCGAAAUGUUUUCGGAUGCGGAUAUGGCGGAAGUGCGGCAUGUUGUCCAACGCAUUUUGGUGCCGUGCGUUUUUGUUAUUGGACUAUUGGGAAAUUCAGUGAGCAUUUAUGUUUUGACGCGAAAGCGCAUGAGAUGCACGACGAACAUAUAUCUAACGGCACUGGCCAUCACGGAUAUCGCCUACCUGACGUGCCAGUUGAUCCUGUCGCUCCAGCACUACGACUAUCCCAAAUAUCACUUCAAGCUCUACUGGCAGCUCUAUGGCUAUUUCGUCUGGCUGUGCGAUAGUUUCGGUUACAUCUCAAUUUACAUAGCCGUGUGCUUCACCAUCGAGAGAUUCAUUGCGAUACGCUAUCCGCUCAAGAGACAAACAUUCUGCACGGAAUCGCUGGCCAAAAAGGUGAUAGCAGCGGUGGCCAUCUUCUGUUUGCUGUCCACACUCUCGACGGCAUUCGAGCACACAAUUACGAUUGGUACGCGCCAGAUUGAUGACGCCUACCAGCCGUGCAACCAAACGUUGGCCAACAUCUCGCCCACGCCGCCGCCGCCACCCGUGGCAGCCACGCCCCCACUGGCCACGCCCCCGCUGCCCACGCCGGCGACCGCUUGGCAAUCGCCGGACUUCGCCAUGGAGUCCACGACGGCCGGCAGCUCUAAUCUGCUCGUCGACUGGGGCAGUGGCAGUGGUGAUGGAGAGCCAGAGAACAUUCCACGACAUCGCCGUCACUGGCAGUCAUCUGGAUUUGUGACGCUGCCCACACUGAGAAAAACGCUGGAGGAGCAGGAUCCGGAGGGGGCAGACGCGGGCCAGGGGUCAGGGGUCACGCAGAGCUUGCUGCAAUUGUGGCGUCGCAAGCGCAGCGCUGAGAUUCACAACAUCAACAAUACGGAUGCAUUCGCAUUUAACGUAACGGAAUACUGUCAAAAUGUGACUUAUUAUAACCAUGGUCUUUCGGAACUGGGCUAUGAUGAGCUAUACAGCUAUCUGUGGAACCUGUUCACCCUGCUGGUCUUCGUGGUGUUCCCCCUGCUUCUACUGGCCACCUUCAACUCCAUUCUCAUUCUGCUGGUGCAUCGGUCCAAGAAUCUGCGUGGUGACCUGACCAACGCCAGCAGCAUAAGGCGCACAAAACGCAAAUCGAAUUCUGGACUAAAAGGCAGCGUAUCGCAGGAAAAUCGCGUGACGAUCACACUCAUUGCCGUGGUGCUAAUGUUCAUAGUUUGCCAACUGCCCUGGGCGAUCUAUUUGAUAGUCAAUCAGUAUAUGGAAAUUCAAGUUGGCACUCAGGUGGUGGCGGGAAAUGUGUGUAACCUGCUGGCCUCCCUACACGCCGCCUCCAAUUUCUUUCUGUACUGUGUGCUUUCCGAUAAGUACCGAAAGACGGUGCGAGAACUGAUAACCGGAUAUCGGUAUAGACGUCGACACGCGCGGAACAAUACGAGUCUCUAUGUGCCGCAUACGACGACUACACUGACCCAAAUAAAUGGCGAUCAUUAUGGCAGUAAUUAUGGCGGAAACGGAAGUCGUCGAAAUCGCAAUACGGGUCGCCUGAUAGCGUGAACCGUAAAUCGUGGAUGUAUAAUAAAAUAUUAGUGGGUUAAACUCCAUGAGGAGAAGGAGAGUGAUAGCUGAUAUCACGAAACUUCUCCACGCGAGAAGAGGGCUUUAAAUUUGCCAGCAAAUCACGCGGAAUCACAACUUCCCCUUCAGCAAACCGAGCGACUCGGGCUAAUUGAACCAGUUCCGCAGUGGCUGCAUCUAUGCAAAUAACCCCAGUUGCCCUC
Drosophila mauritiana is the source of this 3015-nucleotide RNA transcript. RefSeq lists it as uncharacterized. The record is from RefSeq and is a predicted model, not a curated record. Lineage: Eukaryota; Metazoa; Arthropoda; Insecta; Diptera; Drosophilidae. The transcript has 9 exons.